This 909-nucleotide ribosomal RNA is filed under the name uncultured archaeon. RNAcentral's name for it is "bacterial SSU rRNA". It matches the Rfam family "Archaeal small subunit ribosomal RNA", at positions 31 to 922 of the family's 1478-position model. The record is from RNAcentral.
UUUUUGGGUAGGAUAGAAUGCUAGUCGAGUGGCUCAGCCAAUACGAGCCACGGCAUACAGCUCAGUAACACGUGGCUAAUCUGCCCUUAGGACGAGAACAACCCCGGGAAACUGGGGCUAACUCUCGAUAGGCGAAGAACUCUGGAAUGAGUCUUCACCCAAAUAGUUCAGCGUUACGCUCGUUGGACCGCCUAAGGAUGAGGCCGCGACCGAUCAGGUUGUUGGUGAGGUAAUGGCUCACCAAGCCUUUUACCGGUGCGGGCCGUGAGAGCGGGAGCCCGGAGAUGGGCACUGAGACAAGGGCCCAGGCCCUACGGGGCGCAGCAGUCGCGAAAACUUUGCAAUACACGAAAGUGUGACAGGGCUAUCCCGAGUGCCAUCCGCUGAGGAAGGCUUUUACCCAGUCUAGAAAGCUGGGGGAAUAAGGAGAGGGCAAGUCUGGUGUCAGCCGCUGCGGUAAUACCAGCUCUCCGAGUGGUGUGGAUGUUUAUUGGGCCUAAAGCAUCCGUAGCUGGCUAAGUUAGUCCCUUGUUAAAUCCACCGAAUUAAUCGUUGGAUUGCGGGGGAUACUGCUUGGCUAGGGGACGAGAGAGGCAGACGGUAUUUUCGGGGUAGGGGUGAAAUCCUAUAAUCCCGGGAAGACCACCAGUGGCGAAGGCUGUCUGCUAGAACGCGCCCGACGGUGAGGGAUGAAAGCUGGGGGAGCGAACCGGAUUAGAUACCCGGGUAGUCCCAGCUGUAAACGAUGCAGGCUAGGUGUUUGGACGGCCACGUGCCGUUCUAGUGCCGCAGGGAAGCUGUUAAGCCUGCCGCCUGGGGGAGUACGAUCGCAAGAUUGAAACUUAAAGGAAUUGGCGGGGGAGCACCACAAGGGGUGAAGCUUGCGGUUUAAUUGGAGUCAACGCCGGA